Molecule: long non-coding RNA, 103 nt
Organism: Alosa sapidissima (American shad)
Lineage: Eukaryota; Metazoa; Chordata; Actinopteri; Clupeiformes; Clupeidae
Exons: 3
Source: RefSeq, a predicted model, not a curated record
GAGAGACUGUGUAGAGGUAGGCAAAAAAAAAUCUAAAGUUUAGUUUCAUGUGCUCGCGUGUAAGUUUCAUGUGAAAAGGUUUUGCGUGCGCACACGAAACUUU